This 2710-nucleotide ribosomal RNA is filed under the name Escherichia coli. Its description in RNAcentral is "partial 23S ribosomal RNA". It matches the Rfam family "Bacterial large subunit ribosomal RNA". The record is from RNAcentral. Lineage: Bacteria; Pseudomonadati; Pseudomonadota; Gammaproteobacteria; Enterobacterales; Enterobacteriaceae.
CAUAGGUUAAUGAGGCGAACCGGGGGAACUGAAACAUCUAAGUACCCCGAGGAAAAGAAAUCAACCGAGAUUCCCCCAGUAGCGGCGAGCGAACGGGGAGGAGCCCAGAGCCUGAAUCAGUGUGUGUGUUAGUGGAAGCGUCUGGAAAGGCGCGCGAUACAGGGUGACAGCCCCGUACACAAAAAUGCACAUAUUGUGAGCUCGAUGAGUAGGGCGGGACACGUGGUAUCCUGUCUGAAUAUGGGGGGACCAUCCUCCAAGGCUAAAUACUCCUGACUGACCGAUAGUGAACCAGUACCGUGAGGGAAAGGCGAAAAGAACCCCGGCGAGGGGAGUGAAAAAGAACCUGAAACCGUGUACGUACAAGCAGUGGGAGCCUCUUAAUGGGGUGACUGCGUACCUUUUGUAUAAUGGGUCAGCGACUUAUAUUCUGUAGCAAGGUUAACCGAAUAGGGGAGCCGAAGGGAAACCGAGUCUUAACUGGGCGUUAAGUUGCAGGGUAUAGACCCGAAACCCGGUGAUCUAGCCAUGGGCAGGUUGAAGGUUGGGUAACACUAACUGGAGGACCGAACCGACUAAUGUUGAAAAAUUAGCGGAUGACUUGUGGCUGGGGGUGAAAGGCCAAUCAAACCGGGAGAUAGCUGGUUCUCCCCGAAAGCUAUUUAGGUAGCGCCUCGUGAAUUCAUCUCCGGGGGUAGAGCACUGUUUCGGCAAGGGGGUCAUCCCGACUUACCAACCCGAUGCAAACUGCGAAUACCGGAGAAUGUUAUCACGGGAGACACACGGCGGGUGCUAACGUCCGUCGUGAAGAGGGAAACAACCCAGACCGCCAGCUAAGGUCCCAAAGUCAUGGUUAAGUGGGAAACGAUGUGGGAAGGCCCAGACAGCCAGGAUGUUGGCUUAGAAGCAGCCAUCAUUUAAAGAAAGCGUAAUAGCUCACUGGUCGAGUCGGCCUGCGCGGAAGAUGUAACGGGGCUAAACCAUGCACCGAAGCUGCGGCAGCGACACUAUGUGUUGUUGGGUAGGGGAGCGUUCUGUAAGCCUGUGAAGGUGGCCUGUGAGGGUUGCUGGAGGUAUCAGAAGUGCGAAUGCUGACAUAAGUAACGAUAAAGCGGGUGAAAAGCCCGCUCGCCGGAAGACCAAGGGUUCCUGUCCAACGUUAAUCGGGGCAGGGUGAGUCGACCCCUAAGGCGAGGCCGAAAGGCGUAGUCGAUGGGAAACAGGUUAAUAUUCCUGUACUUGGUGUUACUGCGAAGGGGGGACGGAGAAGGCUAUGUUGGCCGGGCGACGGUUGUCCCGGUUUAAGCGUGUAGGCUGGUUUUCCAGGCAAAUCCGGAAAAUCAAGGCUGAGGCGUGAUGACGAGGCACUACGGUGCUGAAGCGACAAAUGCCCUGCUUCCAGGAAAAGCCUCUAAGCAUCAGGUAACAUCAAAUCGUACCCCAAACCGACACAGGUGGUCAGGUAGAGAAUACCAAGGCGCUUGAGAGAACUCGGGUGAAGGAACUAGGCAAAAUGGUGCCGUAACUUCGGGAGAAGGCACGCUGAUAUGUAGGUGAAGCGACUUGCUCGUGGAGCUGAAAUCAGUCGAAGAUACCAGCUGGCUGCAACUGUUUAUUAAAAACACAGCACUGUGCAAACACGAAAGUGGACGUAUACGGUGUGACGCCUGCCCGGUGCCGGAAGGUUAAUUGAUGGGGUUAGCGGUAACGCGAAGCUCUUGAUCGAAGCCCCGGUAAACGGCGGCCGUAACUAUAACGGUCCUAAGGUAGCGAAAUUCCUUGUCGGGUAAGUUCCGACCUGCACGAAUGGCGUAAUGAUGGCCAGGCUGUCUCCACCCGAGACUCAGUGAAAUUGAACUCGCUGUGAAGAUGCAGUGUACCCGCGGCAAGACGGAAAGACCCCGUGAACCUUUACUAUAGCUUGACACUGAACAUUGAGCCUUGAUGUGUAGGAUAGGUGGGAGGCUUUGAAGUGUGGACGCCAGUCUGCAUGGAGCCGACCUUGAAAUACCACCCUUUAAUGUUUGAUGUUCUAACGUGGGCCCCUUACCGGGGUUGCGGACAGUGUCUGGUGGGUAGUUUGACUGGGGCGGUCUCCUCCUAAAGAGUAACGGAGGAGCACGAAGGUUGGCUAAUCCUGGUCGGACAUCAGGAGGUUAGUGCAAUGGCAUAAGCCAGCUUGACUGCGAGCGUGACGGCGCGAGCAGGUGCGAAAGCAGGUCAUAGUGAUCCGGUGGUUCUGAAUGGAAGGGCCAUCGCUCAACGGAUAAAAGGUACUCCGGGGAUAACAGGCUGAUACCGCCCAAGAGUUCAUAUCGACGGCGGUGUUUGGCACCUCGAUGUCGGCUCAUCACAUCCUGGGGCUGAAGUAGGUCCCAAGGGUAUGGCUGUUCGCCAUUUAAAGUGGUACGCGAGCUGGGUUUAGAACGUCGUGAGACAGUUCGGUCCCUAUCUGCCGUGGGCGCUGGAGAACUGAGGGGGGCUGCUCCUAGUACGAGAGGACCGGAGUGGACGCAUCACUGGUGUUCGGGUUGUCAUGCCAAUGGCACUGCCCGGUAGCUAAAUGCGGAAGAGAUAAGUGCUGAAAGCAUCUAAGCACGAAACUUGCCCCGAGAUGAGUUCUCCCUGACUCCUUGAGAGUCCUGAAGGAACGUUGAAGACGACGACGUUGAUAGGCCGGGUGUGUAAGCGCAGCGAUGCGUUGAGCUAA